GGCGAACGUUAGCGGCGGGCCUAACACAUGCAAGUCGAACGAGAAUGAGGGGGCAACCCUUCUAGUAAAGUGGCGGACGGGUGCGUAACACGUGGGUAAUCUACCUUUUCGGCGGGGGACAACAGUCCGAAAGGAUUGCUAAUACCGCAUACGUCGGCGGAAUCUCCGGAUUCUGUCGGGAAAGAUGGCCUCUCCUUGGAAGCUGUCACCGAAAGAUGAACCCGCGGCCCAUCAGCUAGUUGGCGAGGAACGGCUCACCAAGGCUAAGACGGGUAGCUGGUCUGAGAGGAUGAUCAGCCACACUGGGACUGCGACACGGCCCAGACUCCUACGGGAGGCAGCAGUGGGGAAUAUUGGGCAAUGGGCGAAAGCCUGACCCAGCCACGCCGCGUGAGUGAUGAAGGCCUCGGUCGUAA
Molecule: ribosomal RNA, 416 nt
Filed under: uncultured bacterium
Lineage: Bacteria
Description: bacterial SSU rRNA
Rfam family: Bacterial small subunit ribosomal RNA
Source: RNAcentral